UUAAGUCUCUUUUCAUGGCAAGUGGUGAUAUCUACCUCAAUGAGGUACGUAGUACAAGAAGAUUCAUACGAUGAUCUUGAAACAGUUUUCUGAGCCAUUUGUCGAUUUAACGCUAUCAUUUCACUCUUAUCAUGAGAAACUCGGUUACUGACCCUGUCAGAUUAAACCCUGUCGCUUUGCUCGAAAGAAGCCGCCAUACCCUGAUUCCGCCGUUCUAGGCAGGUUUAUCCCUGGAUUCUAAUAGAAGUUUUUCAAGUCUAUCUAACUGCUUUCUCAUGAUUUCCAUCUCCUGAUGGACGGGGCUCUCAGUGAGUGCAGGACUAAUAAUUUCUCGAUAUCUCUCCGUUGUCGUCACCCUCGCAGGUCGGAUCCUCGAUAACAGGAUCCCCUUCCUCAUCGGGCGGAGGCUCGUUGAAGUAUGCACUGAUGCUACGAUUCUUUGAAUGGGAUAUGUUGGUUUCGAAGAGCACAAUAAACGUAAGAGGUACAAAGAACAAAAUAGUCAUGGUGUAGCGAUUAAGCGCUAUGUACAUAUCCCUGGGAAGUAUCCAUCUGUAUUGGGUCAGCCUAUUAACAUGCAGUAUUAUAGUCAAACUUCAUUUAAGCUUACUCGAACGGCGCAAUCAAGAAGGCUUCAAUGAGGUUGAAUGGUGCUGAGUAAACGUAUGAGUCUGGAGCACGGAUCAAGUCUAUAGUUUUAUGGGCAAAGAAAACCAGGUAUUCGUCCGUCUCAUUAUCGGUCACGUCGGAAUAGGCGGAUCCGAACAGAGCAAUUAAAACGUUGACAAGGAUGAUGGUUGCUACGAAGUUCCAUCCGUAGAAAAUGAUAAGUCCGAAAGGAUAGCCGAAUCGUUCCGAGGGCGAAUCAAAGUCGGGGGCUCUGCCAAGCCAUAUAUCAACAAUGCAUAUAGCCAGAAAGAAUACACUUACCCCAGAAGAGCCUGAAUGAGGUUAUUGAUAACAAUACCUCGGCCCCCAGAUUCUCCAUCUGCAGCGUCCAGGGCAUAUAACGACUGUUAAUAAUGAAGUUAGGACCAUUUUCCAUAGGGACAGAUAAUCGGAGGGACAUGUUCACCUGUACAAACCCAAUGCCCAUGAUAGCAAGUCUUCCCCACAACGAUUAGGGAGAAGUUAUCAGCAAUGAUUCGUGGAUUGAUAUAUCUAUAUACUGACAGCAUCCUGGCGACUACAACUUGAAGUGUCCCGACCUGUGUUGCGUCAGCCAAAGCAGUAGGAGAAAUAAUCUACACUUUCUAUCUUGAAGCCAUCGAAUACAGUCAACUGUCAUAUGAGAAGCUAUGAGUAUUGCGUUUGUCCUUUUUUCUUGCUUUAUAUUUACCAGUUUCAUCCAGAUGAAGGGCGCCACGCAACUGAGAACUUGGAAGCUCCGGAAAUGCAAAAGCUGAGCCUGAUCGUCUUUACUUGCAUCAAGGCUGAGGCCGGCGACCCGAAGACCAAAAGCUGUGAGAAGAAGACAGUCGGUAAUCAAGUUGACAAUGGUCCAGAAGCCCUAUUU
Molecule: small RNA, 1516 nt
Filed under: Cryptococcus neoformans H99
Lineage: Eukaryota; Fungi; Basidiomycota; Tremellomycetes; Tremellales; Cryptococcaceae
Description: Cryptococcus neoformans var. grubii H99 hypothetical RNA
Source: RNAcentral